GUGAACCAGCGGAGGGAUCAUUACUGAGUUUACGCUCUAUAACCCUUUGUGAACAUACCUAUAACUGUUGCUUCGGCGGGUAGGGUCUCCGCGACCCUCCCGGCCUCCCGCCUCCGGGCGGGUCGGCGCCCGCCGGAGGAUAACCAAACUCUGAUUUAACGACGUUUCUUCUGAGUGGUACAAGCAAAUAAUCAAAACUUUUAACAACGGAUCUCUUGGUUCUGGCAUCGAUGAAGAACGCAGCGAAAUGCGAUAAGUAAUGUGAAUUGCAGAAUUCAGUGAAUCAUCGAAUCUUUGAACGCACAUUGCGCCCGCCAGCAUUCUGGCGGGCAUGCCUGUUCGAGCGUCAUUUCAACCCUCAAGCUCUGCUUGGUGUUGGGGCCCUACAGCUGAUGUAGGCCCUCAAAGGUAGUGGCGGACCCUCCCGGAGCCUCCUUUGCGUAGUAACUUUACGUCUCGCACUGGGAUCCGGAGGGACUCUUGCCGUAAAACCCCCCAAUUUUCCAAAGGUUGACCUCGGAUCAGGUAG
Molecule: ribosomal RNA, 529 nt
Filed under: Colletotrichum cf. gloeosporioides ROG-2010
Lineage: Eukaryota; Fungi; Ascomycota; Sordariomycetes; Glomerellales; Glomerellaceae
Description: eukaryotic LSU rRNA
Rfam family: 5.8S ribosomal RNA (bases 196-349)
Source: RNAcentral